AUUGAACGCUGGCGGCAUGCCUUACACAUGCAAGUCGAACGGCAGCACGGGAGCAAUCCUGGUGGCGAGUGGCGAACGGGUGAGUAAUGUAUCGGAACGUGCCCAGUCGUGGGGGAUAACGUAGCGAAAGCUACGCUAAUACCGCAUACGAUCUAUGGAUGAAAGCGGGGGAUCGCAAGACCUCGCGCGAUUGGAGCGGCCGAUAUCAGAUUAGGUAGUUGGUGGGGUAAAGGCCCACCAAGCCUGCGAUCUGUAGCUGGUCUGAGAGGACGACCAGCCACACUGGAACUGAGACACGGUCCAGACUCCUACGGGAGUCAGCAGUGGGGAAUUUUGGACAAUGGGCGCAAGCCUGAUCCAGCAAUGCCGCGUGCAGGAUGAAGGCCUUCGGGUUGUAAACUGCUUUUGUACGGAACGAAACGGCUUUUUCUAAUACAGAGAGCUAAUGACGGUACCUGGAGAAAAAGCCCCGGCUAACUUCGUGCCAGCCGCCGCCGUAA
This 500-nucleotide ribosomal RNA is filed under the name uncultured bacterium. RNAcentral describes it as "partial 16S ribosomal RNA". It matches the Rfam family "Bacterial small subunit ribosomal RNA", at positions 30 to 523 of the family's 1533-position model. The record is from RNAcentral.